This 1104-nucleotide ribosomal RNA is filed under the name Lime witches'-broom phytoplasma. Its description in RNAcentral is "bacterial SSU rRNA". It matches the Rfam family "Bacterial small subunit ribosomal RNA", at positions 214 to 1325 of the family's 1533-position model. Lineage: Bacteria; Bacillati; Mycoplasmatota; Mollicutes; Acholeplasmatales; Acholeplasmataceae. The record is from RNAcentral.
UAUACUUUAGGAGGGGCUUGCGCCAUAUUAGUUAGUUGGUAGGGUAAUGGCCUACCAAGACGAUGAUGUGUAGCUGGACUGAGAGGUUGAACAGCCACAUUGGGACUGAGACACGGCCCAAACUCCUACGGGAGGCAGCAGUAGGGAAUUUUCGGCAAUGGAGGAAACUCUGACCGAGCAACGCCGCGUGAACGACGAAGUACUUUGGUAUGUAAAGUUCUUUUAUCAAGGAAGAAAAGCAAGUGGUGAACCAUUUGUUUGCCGGUACUUGAUGAAUAAGCCCCGGCUAAUUAUGUGCCAGCAGCCGCGGUAAGACAUAAGGGGCAAGUGUUAUCCGGAAUUAUUGGGCGUAAAGGGUGCGUAGGCGGUCUAGUAAGUCAGUGGUGUAAUGGCAACGCUCAACGUUGUCCGGCUAUUGAAACUGCUAAACUUGAGUUAGAUAGAGGCGAGUGGAAUUCCAUGUGUAGCGGUAAAAUGCGUAAAUAUAUGGAGGAACACCAGAGGCGUAGGCGGCUCGCUGGGUCUUAACUGACGCUGAGGCACGAAAGCGUGGGGAGCAAACAGGAUUAGAUACCCUGGUAGUCCACGCCGUAAACGAUGAGUACUAAGUGUCGGGUUAAACCGGUACUGAAGUUAACACAUUAAGUACUCCGCCUGAGUAGUACGUACGCAAGUAUGAAACUUAAAGGAAUUGACGGGACUCCGCACAAGCGGUGGAUCAUGUUGUUUAAUUCGAAGAUACCCGAAAAACCUUACCAGGUCUUGACAUGUUUUUGCGAAACGGUAGUAAUAUCGUGGAGGUUAUCAGAAACACAGGUGGUGCAUGGUUGUCGUCAGCUCGUGUCGUGAGAUGUUAGGUUAAGUCCUAAAACGAGCGAAACCCUUAUCGUUAGUUGCCAGCACGUUAUGGUGGGGACUUUAACGAGACUGCCAGUGAUAAAUUGGAGGAAGGUGAGGAUCACGUCAAAUCAGCAUGCCCCUUAUGACCUGGGCUACAAACGUGAUACAAUGGCUGUUACAAAGGGUAGCUGAAACGCAAGUUCUUGGCCAAUCCCCAAAAACAGUCUCAGUCCGGAUUGAAGUCUGCAACUCGACUUCAUGAAG